GUACAGAGCUGAGAGACGCACAUUCUAGCCAAUCGGAUGCGUCUAAUUAGAUCACGUGAUCAGGUGAAGGCGCUAAUGAAGUCUAAUGACGUCACGUGGCUAAGUAGGAGCUGUUUGUUUGUAACCGCGCAGCAGACGGAAAUAUCAGAAUGAGUUUGAUGAAAAUGGAGCAGAAGUGUGAAGAAAGAGGAAAGACAAAGCAGUGGAAGGUGGAAAGUGGAAAGCUGUCAGUGUUUGGAUCAUUUGGUGCUUCUGGUACCUGGUCUCUCUCUCUCUCUCUGCUCCUGGAAUUGCACUCAGGACCUCCGUACACUAGGGGGCGGGGUACUGAUUAAUCAUAGACCCGGAAUCCAUCGGCAAACUCGGAGGAGAAGAAGAGCGGCAAGAAACUGCGCUACCAAGAACCUCCAGAACCUCCACGCAAACCUCUAUGUUACACAGGAGCUGGUGGAGGAACCGGUGAUGAGUACUGACACACCUUCACACCAUCUCCUCCUCCUCCUCCUCCUCCUCAUCAGCAGCGAUUCUUCAGGGAAGGUUAUGGAUACGUUUUCUUCCUGAACAUCCCAGUGUUCCUUUACACACACACUCUCACACACACUCUCACACACACACACACACACACACACACACACACACACACACUCACACACACACUCACACACACACACACACACACACACACUCACUCUUUCUCUCUCUUCAGGACUUCGCUCUGAGAAGAUCAGGAGGUAAAACCUAUAUUUUUAAUGGUUCUAAUAUUUUGUCCACCACACGAACCAAAAUUGAGACGAAUCUUACAAAUUCUGAUGACCUUUGACCUCUGAACACGAACACACACACACACACACACACACGCACCACAUACAAUAUAAAAUUAAAUACAACAAUAUAAAAUACUAUUGUUAUUGUUAUUAGUAGUAAUAUUAGUAUUCGUCUUAUCAUUAUUAUUAUUAAUAAUAAUAUAAGCAGUAUUGUUAAUAAUAAUAAUAAUUUAUUAGUAGUAGUAUUUGGCGUUGUUGGUGUUAUUACUGUUAUAAUUGUUUUUUGUUGUAUUAUUAUUAUUAUUAUUAUUAUUAUCAUCACUCCAUUGGGAAAGUCCUGAUAAAAGCAUCUUUAUCUGUGAUCAGUGAACAAACACACUGUUCUUAGAGUCAGAGUUAAUGUAACUCACCGGGUAUUCACCUCCUAACAGCCAAGAAUAGACACACACACACACACACACACACACACACACACACACACUUGCCCAACAGCAAUAAAACACGACACACAGGGACCUCUCAGGUCCAGAAAAACACACAAACGAUAUCAGUCUCAGAGAGAAAAACACACGCACACACACACACACACACACACCUGGGCAUUAAACAACACUCCAGAUAUAAAUGUGCUACUGUGGUGUUAAUUUUUGAUGCUUAUUUCCUACAACUAUUGUUUACUUUGAGUUUACUUUAAA
Long non-coding RNA from Pangasianodon hypophthalmus (striped catfish), 1459 nucleotides. RefSeq lists it as uncharacterized. The transcript has 3 exons. The record is from RefSeq and is a predicted model, not a curated record. NCBI's taxonomy places the organism in Eukaryota, Metazoa, Chordata, Actinopteri, Siluriformes, Pangasiidae.